UGGGUAUGGUAAUUUACCUUCUGUUUUUUCAGUGUUUCAUUCUACCAAUACUUGGUGGCUUGAUACUUGUGGCGUCCCGCCCCCCAGGGGCCAGGCCCGCUUACACCUGGCAGCUCUCUAGAAUAUCAAGAAUUCCCUCACAGACCAACACACGUCUUUUCUGUGCACUUUGUCCUCACUCGUGCGCACCCGGGAAGAACUUCCCGGUCGGUCACCCAUCCCGAAAUUGCUCCGGACCAAGCACGCUUAACCCCGGAGUUCUUUAAGGAUGAGCUUCCGGAAAAGAAGUUGCAACUUGUUGGUAUGAAUAUUCUAUCAAUCCUAUUAAGCCUUGGGCCGGGAUGUCACAUACUCACCCCCUUAGAAGACCGACGCCCUCGUCGGUCAACCCCAAGCCAGGAACGUCCCCUCUUGGCCACGUCCGUGUGUCCAGUGCCAGCGCAUGUGCCAUGCUAUGUGACCACUCUGGGCCCACACCAGCCAUGCACACCAUGCCUGCGCAACUGCGACCGCACGCGCCCGUGAAACCGCGAGAGUCGACUCUGAUACCAACUGUGGCGUCCCGCCCCCCAGGGGCCAGGCCCGCUUACACCUGGCAGCUCUCUAGAAUAUCAAGAAUUCCCUCACAGACCAACACACGUCUUUUCUGUGCACUUUGUCCUCACUCGUGCGCACCCGGGAAGAACUUCCCGGUCGGUCACCCAUCCCGAAAUUGCUCCGGACCAAGCACGCUUAACCCCGGAGUUCUUUAAGGAUGAGCUUCCGGAAAAGAAGUUGCAACUUGUUGGUAUGAAUAUUCUAUCAAUCCUAUUAAGCCUUGGGCCGGGAUGUCACAAUACUGGUGCUAAUGUUCAUGUGUGUGCUGAUGCCUCCUUGUUUUCAUCUUACCAGGUCGCUCGGGAUUCCUCCGUCCUAAUGGGGAAUGGGUCACAUGAUUCUG
This 940-nucleotide long non-coding RNA is filed under the name Setaria viridis. RNAcentral describes it as "long non-coding RNA (SVIR_LNC007882)". The record is from RNAcentral. Lineage: Eukaryota; Viridiplantae; Streptophyta; Magnoliopsida; Poales; Poaceae.